CCUACGGGAGGCAGCAGUGGGGAAUAUUGCACAAUGGGGGAAACCCUGAUGCAGCGACGCCGCGUGAGCGAAGAAGUAUUUCGGUAUGUAAAGCUCUAUCAGCAGGGAAGAAAAUGACGGUACCUGACUAAGAAGCACCGGCUAAAUACGUGCCAGCAGCCGCGGUAAUACGUAUGGUGCAAGCGUUAUCCGGAUUUACUGGGUGUAAAGGGUGAGUAGGCGGUCAUGCAAGUCAUAUGUGAAAUGUCAGGGCUUAACCUUGGCGCUGCAUAAGAAACUGUAUGACUAGAGUGCAGGAGAGGAAAGGGGAAUUCCCAGUGUAGCGGUGAAAUGCGUAGAUAUUGGGAGGAACACCAGUGGCGAAGGCGCCUUUCUGGACUGUGUCUGACGCUGAGAUGCGAAAGCCAGGGUAGCGAACGGGAUU
RNAcentral lists this ribosomal RNA (424 nucleotides) under uncultured Bacteroides sp. RNAcentral describes it as "bacterial SSU rRNA". It matches the Rfam family "Bacterial small subunit ribosomal RNA", at positions 338 to 779 of the family's 1533-position model. Lineage: Bacteria; Pseudomonadati; Bacteroidota; Bacteroidia; Bacteroidales; Bacteroidaceae. The record is from RNAcentral.